AGUUUGAUCAUGGCUCAGAUUGAACGCUGGCGGGAUGCUUUACACAUGCAAGAUGGAGCAGCGGCACGGACUUCGGUCUGGUGGCGGUGGCGAACGGGUGAGUAAUGUAUCGGAACGUGCCUGUGGCGGGGAUAACUACGCAGCGUAGCUAAUACAUACGCCCUUCGAAGGAAGAAAGCGGGGGACUGGGGCUCACCGCGCUAUUAGAGCGGCCGAUAUCGGAUUAGCUAGUUGGUGGGAGUAAAACGGCUCACCAAGGCGACGAUCGCUAGCUGGUUUGAGAGGACGACCAGCCACUGGGACUGAGACACGGCCCAGACUCCUGCGGUAAGCAGUGAGAAUUUUGGACAAUGGGGGAAACCUGAUCCGGCCAUCCCGCGUAUUGCGAUGAAGGCCUUCGGGUUUGUAAAAAGCUGCUUUUGGCAGGAAAAAGCGGCACGGGAUAAUACCCCGUGCAACUGACGAACACCUGCAGAUAACCGCAACUAACUACGUGCCAACAGCCACGCGGUAUACGUAGGGUGCAAGCGUUAAUCGAUCACUGAGAUAAAGCAUUUUUUGCCAGGCGGUUCGGAAAAGAAGAUGUGAAAUCCCAGAGCUUAACUUUGGAACUGCAUUUUUAACUACCGAGCUAGAGUGUGUCAGAGGGAGGUGGAAUUCCGCGUGUAGCAGUGAAAUGCGUAGAUAUGCGGAGGAACACCGAUGGCGAAGGCAGCCUCCUGGAUGCUGCUGACGCUCAUGCACAAGCGUGGAGCAAACAGGAUUAGAUACCCUGGUAGUGCGCUAAACGAUGUCAACUAGCUGUUGGGGCCUUCGGGCCUUGGUAGCGCAGCUAACGCGUGAAGUUGACCGCCUGGGGAGUACGGUCGCAAGAUUAAAACUCAAAGGAAUUGUGAGGACCCGCACAAGCGAUGGAUGAUGGUUAAUUCGAUGCAACGCAUGACAUACCUACCCUUGACAUGUCUGGAAUCCCGAAGAGAUUUGGGAGUGCUCGCAAGAGAACCGGAACACAGAGUGCACACCGUAACAUCGUCAGCUCGUGUCGUGAGAUGUUGGGUUAAGUCCCGCAACGAACAACCCUUGUCGUUGAUUUAUUUCCACGAAGGGCACUCUAAUGGAGCUGCCGGUAACAAACCGGAGGAAGGUGGGGAUGACGUCAAGUCCUCAUGGUCCUUAUGGGUAGGGCUACGUCAGCCUGAUAGUGGGACGAAGGUGCCAACCCGCGAGGAGCCAAUCCCAGAAACCUGAUCGUAAUCGGAUCGCAGUCUGCAACUCGACUGCGUGAAGUCGGGAAAUCGCUAGUAAUCGCGGAUCAGCAUGUCGCGGUGGUGCUGGUCCCGGGUCUUGUACACACCGCCCGUCACACCAUGGGAGUGGGUUUUACCAAAAAUGCAGUUAGCCUAACCGCCGGAGGGCGAUUACCACGGUAGGAUUCAUGACUGGGGUGAAGUCGUAACAAGGUAG
Molecule: ribosomal RNA, 1464 nt
Filed under: uncultured Bordetella sp.
Lineage: Bacteria; Pseudomonadati; Pseudomonadota; Betaproteobacteria; Burkholderiales; Alcaligenaceae
Description: partial 16S-23S ribosomal RNA intergenic spacer
Rfam family: Bacterial small subunit ribosomal RNA
Source: RNAcentral